UACAGAGGUCUCAAGCGUUGUCCGGAAUCAUUGGGCGUAAAGGGCGCGUAGGUGGCCCGGUCAGUCCGUGGUGAAAGCGCGGGGCUCAACCCCGCGUCGGCCAUGGAUACUGCUGGGCUUGAGCACUGUAGAGGCAGGCGGAAUUCCGGGUGUAGCGGUGGAAUGCGUAGAGAUCCGGAAGAACACCGGUGGCGAAGGCGGCCUGCUGGGCAGUGGCUGACACUGAGGCGCGAAAGCGUGGGGAGCGAACAGG
Molecule: ribosomal RNA, 253 nt
Filed under: uncultured bacterium
Lineage: Bacteria
Description: partial 16S ribosomal RNA
Rfam family: Bacterial small subunit ribosomal RNA
Source: RNAcentral